This 601-nucleotide ribosomal RNA is filed under the name uncultured bacterium. RNAcentral's name for it is "bacterial SSU rRNA". It matches the Rfam family "Bacterial small subunit ribosomal RNA", at positions 338 to 949 of the family's 1533-position model. The record is from RNAcentral.
CCUACGGGAGGCAGCAGUGGGGAAUAUUGCACAAUGGGCGAAAGCCUGAUGCAGCGACGCCGCGUGAGGGAUGACGGCCUUCGGGUUGUAAACCUCUUUCAGCAGGGAAGAAGCGCAAGUGACGGUACCUGCAGAAGAAGCACCGGCUAACUACGUGCCAGCAGCCGCGGUAAUACGUAGGGUGCGAGCGUUGUCCGGAAUUAUUGGGCGUAAAGAGCUCGUAGGCGGCUUGUCGCGUCGGAUGUGAAAGCCCGGGGCUUAACUCCGGGUCUGCAUUCGAUACGGGCAGGCUAGAGUUCGGUAGGGGAGAUCGGAAUUCCUGGUGUAGCGGUGAAAUGCGCAGAUAUCAGGAGGAACACCGGUGGCGAAGGCGGAUCUCUGGGCCGAUACUGACGCUGAGGAGCGAAAGCGUGGGGAGCGAACAGGAUUAGAUACCCUGGUAGUCCACGCCGUAAACGUUGGGAACUAGGUGUGGGCGACAUUCCACGUCGUCCGUGCCGCAGCUAACGCAUUAAGUUCCCCGCCUGGGGAGUACGGCCGCAAGGCUAAAACUCAAAGUGAAGUGCGNGNGAGNGCGACGACGACGACGACGGAGGAGGAG